AGUGAACGCUGGCGGUAGGCCUAACACAUGCAAGUCGAACGGCAGCACAGUAAGAGCUUGCUCUUACGGGUGGCGAGUGGCGGACGGGUGAGGAAUACAUCGGAAUCUACUUUUUCGUGGGGGAUAACGUAGGGAAACUUACGCUAAUACCGCAUACAACCUACGGGUGAAAGCAGUGGAUCUUCGGACCUUGCGCGAUUGAAUGAGCCGAUGUCGGAUUAGCUAGUUGGCGGGGUAAAGGCCCACCAAGGCGACGAUCCGUAGCUGGUCUGAGAGGAUGAUCAGCCACACUGGAACUGAGACACGGUCCAGACUCCUACGGGAGGCAGCAGUGGGGAAUAUUGGACAAUGGGCGCAAGCCUGAUCCAGCCAUACCGCGUGGGUGAAGAAGGCCUUCGGGUUGUAAAGCCCUUUUGUUGGGAAAGAAAAGCAGCAGGUUAAUACCCCGCUGUUCUGACGGUACCCAAAGAAUAAGCACCGGCUAACUUCGUG
This 492-nucleotide ribosomal RNA is filed under the name uncultured bacterium. RNAcentral's name for it is "partial 16S ribosomal RNA". It matches the Rfam family "Bacterial small subunit ribosomal RNA", at positions 29 to 507 of the family's 1533-position model. The record is from RNAcentral.